UCCGUUCUUUUAAAUCGUUCUAAUUAGCUAAUUAACGAAAUUAAUUAUUCUUAUCGGGAUCAGUCGACGAAACGUCGUAAUAGCAUUGACGGCGAACUAUUAUAAUAUUAUAACAGGCACUGUUACGGUUGAGGCUCAAAACGCAUAAUAAUUCAAAUUACCGCGGGCGACCGCAUUCGUUGUGUCCUGGCCUAAUAGUUG
This is a non-coding RNA of Cinara cedri, 201 nucleotides long. The record is from the annotation of a GenBank genome assembly. NCBI's taxonomy places the organism in Eukaryota, Metazoa, Arthropoda, Insecta, Hemiptera, Aphididae.